GACGAACGCUGGCGGCGUGCCUAAUACAUGCAAGUAGAACGCUGAAGAGAGGAGCUUGCUCUUCUUGGAUGAGUUGCGAACGGGUGAGUAACGCGUAGGUAACCUGCCUUGUAGCGGGGGAUAACUAUUGGAAACGAUAGCUAAUACCGCAUAACAAUGGAUGACCCAUGUCAUUUAUUUGAAAGGGGCAAAUGCUCCACUACAAGAUGGACCUGCGUUGUAUUAGCUAGUAGGUGAGGUAACGGCUCACCUAGGCGACGAUACAUAGCCGACCUGAGAGGGUGGUCGGCCACACUGGGACUGGGACACGGCCCAGACUCCUACGGGAGGCAGCAGUAGGGAAUCUUCGGCAAUGGGGGCAACCCUGACCGAGCAACGCCGCGGGGGUGAAGAAGGUUUUCGGAUCGUAAAGCUCUGUUGUAAGUCAAGGACGAGUGUGAGAGUGGAAAGUUCACGCUGUGACGGUAGCUUACCAGAAAGGGACGGCUAACUACGUG
Molecule: ribosomal RNA, 497 nt
Filed under: uncultured bacterium
Lineage: Bacteria
Description: partial 16S ribosomal RNA
Rfam family: Bacterial small subunit ribosomal RNA
Source: RNAcentral